GCCAGGCAUGGUGGCACAUGUCUGUAAUCUCAGUAACUCAGGAGGCUGAGGCAGGAGGAUGGCAAGUUCAAAGCCAGCCUCAGUAACUUAGUGAGACCCUAAGCAACUUAGCAAGACCCUGUCUCAA
Molecule: small RNA, 127 nt
Filed under: Marmota monax (woodchuck)
Lineage: Eukaryota; Metazoa; Chordata; Mammalia; Rodentia; Sciuridae
Source: RNAcentral